This is a long non-coding RNA of Ahaetulla prasina, 2601 nucleotides long. RefSeq lists it as uncharacterized. The transcript has 4 exons. Lineage: Eukaryota; Metazoa; Chordata; Lepidosauria; Squamata; Colubridae. The record is from RefSeq and is a predicted model, not a curated record.
UUUGCUUGCCUUUCCACCCCCGCCGCCCUGGCAAUGGUUUGUCCUGGAGCAAAGCAUAAAGGGAACCGAAGGGGCGGGAGGCCGUCCUUCUGUUUCUGGCGCGCGAGGGGAGCGGGCUUGUCUCGGCGGUUAUGGAGAAGGCAACGAAGCGCCCCGGGCUAGCGCGCGGCGAAAGCCUCGGAGGCUCCCCGGACGGAAAUGGGGGCCUCGAGGAAGACUUCCGGCACCCCUCGUGACGUUGCGCUGCCAAGGCGCGUGCCGGGCCGCCGAUUGCGAAACGCGAGACCAGUAGAAGCACGUGGUGGAGUCGGAACUCAACGGGAAGACCCUGCGUGCGUCCGCCUGGUUUUAGCCCCUUGGCUUCUAUUCUAACAAGAUGUAAGCAGGAAAAACUGCCAUUUAGAAUGCAAACAAUGCUUAGGAUAUAGAAUGACUGAACCAGAAAGUGAAAGAGAGAAGAUGGGCUUUUUGUAUAAAUACUGGCAAAAGAACUAUUGUUCUGAGGCAGUUUCACAGCAACACUGCACUAGACCUACAACACAAUGCAAGAAUAGUGCUGUGGCAUCUUUUAAACUGCAAAUUUAUUUCCCAAGGGGAGGGGCGGGACUCGAAAAUGGCAUCCAGUUGAAAGAGGCAUCCAACCAAAAUUCUGGACAUGAUGCAAGAUUGACACCUUUGUCAUCAUCAAAUGCUCCCAAAUUGAAGAAACGCACGGCCUAGUCAAUAAUAUAUUCCCUGGGAUCAAAUUUAUAUGCAAAGGAAACAGACAACAGAUACUCAUUCCUCGAUGAUGACAUAAGGAGGCUAGACAUUGGAGAAUUAGAAACCUGUGCCUAUCGCAAACCCCCACACACAGGCCACAUCCUCGGCUUUGUAAGCAAUCACCCCACCCCACACAAAAGAAACUGUCCGGAAAGGCGAGAACACACUGCAGCACGUCAACGCUAAAAAAAGCAGAAGAGAAACAGCUGCUUGAUGUCUUUCUCUGUAAUGGCUAUCCAGAAAACUUCAUAUUCUGACACACAGCAACCACACCACACCGCCAACUGUUUUGGCUGUACAUCUGUUUGAUGAAAAAAGUAUACAAAGUUUCAGCAUUGAGCAAUUUUGGCUAUUGGACUUAGCUGCCUUCUGUAAUUUAAAAGAUUUCUAUGACUAUGGCCAUAGUUUGCAGUACUGUUUAUAAAACCACUUUUGAUUGCACUAAGGAUCCUGAUAUAAACUAUUUUGUUUUAUCUGUUAACUUCUUGGAUUUUGUUCAAUAACUAUAGUAAAUUAUACUUAUAACUGUCCAUUUAAGAACAGUUCAAAGUGACUGAAAAAGUGACUUAAAACCUCUCCUUGUACUUGAUUGCUGUGCCACCCCUUACAGUCAAGUAAUUGAAAAUUGGGUGUUAGGAAGUUAAAAGAGAAAAAUAUAAAUUACAAGAAUUUGCAGAUCUAGUUUUUAUUUUAGAGGAACCACUAAAAUCAGGUCUGAGACUUACAGAGAAAUUGGAGGAAUAUGGAGAAGGAGCCGGACAAAAAUAAGGAAAAAACUAAAAUGGUAGCCAAAAAUAUGACAAACUGAUGAAUUGGCAAAGGGAAUGAAAAUUCAGAUAGUGAAAAAAGUGAAAUUUCUAGGAAUUUACUUAAUGGCAAAGUGUAUAACGAAGAGGACAACUAUACAAAGCUAACAAAUCAAAUUAAAUUGGAUAUGGAGAAAUGGAAGAAUCUGCAACUUUCCUUAAUGGGCAGAAUAGCUGCAAUAAAAAUGAGCAUUCUGCCAAAGACUCUAUUUCAAAAUACACGCAUAAAAUUAGAGAAAAUAUUUUGAAGAUCUGAACAAAACAAUGCUUAAGUUUAUAUGCCAAGGGAAAAAACCCAAGAAUUAAUCAAAAGAAAGUUUGGUCUGCCUCACUGGGAAUUGUACAAUCAAGCUGCUGUACUUACAUGGGUAAAAGAACGGAUAGUCCUAAGGAAUAGGAGAUUAUUACUACUGGAGGGUCAUGAUAUUCAAAUAGGGUGGCAUGGAUUUAUUUCGUAUGGGAGAAGCAUGGCACAUCAAUACAAGGCAUUAUAUAAGAAAUGCAUUACUAGUAGUGUGGAAUAAAAACAAAAUUAUAUGAAAAUACUAGUCUGGCUCUCCACCUUGGAAGAACUGAUACCCCCAGACCUUAUAAAUAUGGAAAAAAAUUGUUACAUAUAAGGGUAUAUUAAAUGAGAAGGUGAAUUGAAAACCAGAUUCGAAUUCAAGAACAAAGGAUGGAAUUGGAGUGAGAAUGGUGUAUGCACAGCAAUGGAAAAGUGAAAACACCCCUUCAGAAAAUGAGAUAAGAUGUUAACAUGGACAGAAAUGGAUAGACUUAACAGAAUUUAAAAAUGACACAUGGAACAUUUUAUCAAUGGCUGGAAACACAAGAUGGGAGCCAGAACAUAGAAAAAUUAAGUAGACAUGAAAUGAGAUGUGUGUAUUAGAAUGAAUACAUUGGUCAAAAAUAAUUGUAUAAGACUAGCACCGUGUAAGUUGUGUAUAUGUUAUUUAUUUUUCACCAUGGUUUCUAUGGCGGAUGAAAUGCCAGGACGGUCACUGUUCGAUAUAUGUAAAUAAAUUAUUUUUUU